Molecule: ribosomal RNA, 465 nt
Filed under: uncultured bacterium
Lineage: Bacteria
Description: partial 16S ribosomal RNA
Rfam family: Bacterial small subunit ribosomal RNA
Source: RNAcentral
CUACGGGCCGCACCAGUGGGGAAUAUUGCGCAGUGGGCGAAAGCCUGACGCAGCAACGCCGUGUGAGGGAUGAAGGCUUUCGGGUCGUAAACCUCUGUCGGAAGGGAAGAACGGGCAUUGGUCUAAUAGGCCUUUGUUUUGACGGUACCUUUAGAGGAAGCACCGGCUAACUCCGUGCCAGCAGCCGCGGUAAUACGGAGGGUGCAAGCGUUAUUCGGAAUUACUGGGCGUAAAGCGCACGUAGGCGGCCUUGUAAGUCAGGGGUGAAAUCCCACGGCUCAACCGUGGAACUGCCUUUGAAACUGCAGGGCUUGAGUCCUGGAGAGGGUGGCGGAAUUCCUGGUGUAGGAGUGAAAUCCGUAGAUAUCAGGAGGAACACCGGUGGCGAAGGCGGCCACCUGGACAGGUAUUGACGCUGAGGUGCGAAAGUGUGGGGAGCAAACAGGAUUAGAUACCCGGGUAGUC